AUUUUCCUUCUGGAAAAUAGCUCAGUGUUUAAAAUUUACAUGAACUUAAAAGGUUAAUCUUUUUAAAAAAAAGUUUGAGGAGCAAUCAAUUCUGAUUUUGUCUUAUGGAUAGAAAUAGAAUUAGCCAUUUUCCUCAAGAAAAGUGAUUCUUCUGAAUCUUAGCUCUUCAGUAAUGAGAACUGGACUGUUUCCACUUGACCCUCUAUUUCCUGUUAGUGGGAAACCGCUUCCCAGAGGUGCUGUGUGAAAGAUUGCUGGGGAAAGGGUUUCUAGAUCCCAGCAUAACAAGUUCAAAAGAGUCCAGCGAUAUUGUCAUUUAGAAUAAUGGUCUUCAUUAAGUACUAGUUUUCAUAAUCCUGAAGCUUCAUUUUCACCAAUUUGAAAGGCAGCUAGGGAGGAGAAGACUAUGCAGGGAAGGAGGAAAACUCUGGAGUGCAUCACAGAGACCUUGAGUGAGUUAAGGCAGGGAAGAAGCAGAUUUGCUAUCCACUGAAUGAAAAUAAAAAGAAUUCCAUUGUCCAAGGUCAGAGCAAGAACACAAAGGUUUUAGUUUACUUAGUUAAUUCCUUAGGUUUGGACAUUACAGGAGACAUGGGGGUGACCAUAGCAAUUUAGCUGAUAAAUGUAUCAGAAACUCAUCAUUUUCUGUCCCCUCCUAUCUUAGGCUGACCGGUUCCCUGAUGUGUUACCUGCUUCUGCUACUGAUCCAAACUGCAGAACUUCUCAUUCAUCCCCAAGGCCUCCAGGCAGUAUCCAAUGGGGAAUCAGCUCUAAAAGGAACCAGACCAACGUUUUCCAGCCCCUUCAUUCUGCUUCCCUCUGUGUGAGGAAAGGAUAGAAAUGUUCAGGACAUCAUCAUACAGGCUCCUCAUCUACAAAGUUCCAGUAGCAGUGACGCCUACACGGAAGACUUGGAACUGCAAACAGGCUGGGGUCACCUCAGUGACAUCUGACGCUGUCCAACCAGAAGUUCGAUUUUUGUUCUGGGGGUGAAGGAGGAAACAGACUGUACUAAAGGAC
This 1020-nucleotide long non-coding RNA is filed under the name Pan troglodytes (chimpanzee). RNAcentral's name for it is "long non-coding RNA NONPTRT007268". The record is from RNAcentral. Lineage: Eukaryota; Metazoa; Chordata; Mammalia; Primates; Hominidae.